Molecule: non-coding RNA, 188 nt
Organism: Doryrhamphus excisus (bluestripe pipefish)
Lineage: Eukaryota; Metazoa; Chordata; Actinopteri; Syngnathiformes; Syngnathidae
Source: RefSeq, a predicted model, not a curated record
AGUAACAGCAGAUGGAUUUGUUUGACAGCAAAUGGUUACAGUUAUGGAUCUACUUCCUCAAGGAGAGCACAGAUGGUUUUCAGGAACUACACCAAGAUCUUCUAUAGGUGACACGAGCGCUCUGCUGUUUAUAUAUAAAUGUUUCGUUGGCCAAUAAAAAGCCAACGCUCCCCUGGGCCAAACCUUGG